UACGGAGGGUGCAAGCGUUAUCCGGAUUCACUGGGUUUAAAGGGUGUGUAGGCGGACUGUUAAGUCAGAGGUGAAAUCUCCGGGCUCAACCCGGAAACUGCCUUUGAUACUAUCAGUCUUGAAUCUUGUUGAGGUGGGCGGAAUAUAUCAUGUAGCGGUGAAAUGCUUAGAUAUGAUAUAGAACACCGAUUGCGAAGGCAGCUCACUAAGCAAGCAUUGACGCUGAGGCACGAAAGCGUGGGGAUCAAACAGG
This 253-nucleotide unclassified non-coding RNA is filed under the name uncultured Chitinophagales bacterium. RNAcentral describes it as "contains 16S-23S intergenic spacer region". It matches the Rfam family "Bacterial small subunit ribosomal RNA", at positions 524 to 776 of the family's 1533-position model. The record is from RNAcentral. Lineage: Bacteria; Pseudomonadati; Bacteroidota; Chitinophagia; Chitinophagales.